This 301-nucleotide ribosomal RNA is filed under the name uncultured bacterium. RNAcentral describes it as "partial 16S ribosomal RNA". It matches the Rfam family "Bacterial small subunit ribosomal RNA", at positions 509 to 807 of the family's 1533-position model. The record is from RNAcentral.
CAGUCGCCACGGGAAUACAGAGGGUGCAAGCGUUAAUCGGAAUUACUGGGCGUAAAGCGCGCGUAGGUGGUUCGCCAAGUUGGAUGUGAAAUCCCCGGGCUCAACCUGGGAACUGCAUCCAAAACUGGCGAGCUAGAGUAUGGUAGAGGGUGGUGGAAUUUCCUGUGGAGCGGUGAAAUGCGUUGAGAUCGGAAAGAACACCAACGGCGAAAGCACUCUGCUGGGCCGACACUGACACUGAGAGACGAAAGCUAGGGGAGCAAAUGGGAUUAGAUACCCCAGUAGUCCCUGUCUCUUAUAC